This 519-nucleotide ribosomal RNA is filed under the name uncultured eukaryote. RNAcentral describes it as "bacterial SSU rRNA". It matches the Rfam family "Eukaryotic small subunit ribosomal RNA", at positions 1161 to 1700 of the family's 1831-position model. The record is from RNAcentral.
AGGGCACCACCAGGAGUGGAGCCUGCGGCUUAAUUUGACUCAACACGGGAAAACUCACCCGGCCCGGACACCGUAAGGAUUGACAGACUGAUAGCUCUUUCUUAAUUCGGUGGGUGGUGGUGCAUGGCCGUUCUUAGUUGGUGGAGCGAUUUGUCUGGUUAAUUCCGAUAACGAACGAGACUCUGGCCUAUUAAAUAGUAGAGUCGUCUCGUGUAGCGAUUCUUACUUCUUAGAGGGACAAGCGGCGUCUAGCCGCAUGAAAUAGAGCAAUAACAGGUCUGUGAUGCCCUUAGAUGUCCGGGGCUGCACGCGCGCUACACUGAAAGAAUCAGCGUGCGUCGAGAACCUAGUCCGGAAGGACCGGGUAACCCCAGUAAAUUCUUUCGUGCUUGGGAUAGGGAAUUGAAAUUAUUUCCCUUAAACGAGGAAUUCCCAGUAAAUGCGGGUCAUAAGCUCGCGUUGAUUACGUCCCUGCCCUUUGUACACACCGCCCGUCGCUACUACCGAUUGGGUGACUCA